AUGCAGAGUCCGUGUGCACCUGCCUGUCGUCGUCAGCAUCACCUCUAUCAGCUUCACCCAUCAGUCUCUAUCAGCCUAGUUUCUCUGAUUUGUUGGUCAUCUGUCAUCCUCUACAUAUGUGUCUACCGUUAUGUAUGUAUGUAUGUACAUAUGUAUGCAUGUAUGUACCUACAAGUUACGUGUGUAUGUACAUAUGUGUGCAUGUAUGUACCUACAAGUUACGUGUGUAUGUACACAUCUAUGCACAUACAUAUCUAUGCACGUACGUAUGUAUCUACCAGUUCUGUGUAUGCAUAUAUGCAUGUGCACAUGUAUGCAUGUAUGUAUGCACAUACACAUGUAUGCGUGUACGCAUGUAUCUACCCGUUCUAUAUGUAUGCAUGUAUGUACGCACACAUAUGUGCAUGUAUGUAUCUACCAGUUCUGUAUGUAUGUACAUAUGUACACAUGCAUGUAUGUACAUACACAUGUAUGUGUGCAUGCAUGUACCUACCAGUUCUGUGUGUAUGUACGUACACAUGUAUGCAUGUACGCAUGUGUCUACCAGUUCUCUAUGUGUGUACAUAUGUACACAUGCAUGCAUGUACAUACAUGUAUGCGUGUAUGCAUGUAUCUACCAGUUCCGUAUGUAUGUAUGUAUGUGCGUAUACAUGUAUGCAUGUAUGUAUGUGUCUACCAGUUCUGUAUGUAUGUAUGUAUGUGCAUACACAUGUAUGCAUGUAUGUAUGUGUCUACCAGUUCUGUAUGUAUGUAUGUAUGUGCGUACACAUGUAUGCAUGUAUGUAUGUGUCUAGCAGUUCUGUAUGUAUGUAUGUAUGUGCGUACACAUGUAUGCAUGUAUGUAUGUGUCUACCAGUUCUGUAUGUAUGUAUGUAUGUGCGUACACAUGUAUGCAUGUAUGUAUGUGUCUACCAGUUCUGUAUGUAUGUAUGCAUGUGCGUACACGUGUAUGCAUGUAUGUAUGUGUCUACCAGUUCUGUAUGUAUGUAUGCAUGUGCGUACACGUGUAUGCAUGUACGUAUGUGUCUACCAGUUCUGUAUGUCUGUCUGUCACUGGACCCUGCCAGUGCUGCUUUGCUGCUGCCCCAUUGCGUGUCCCUGGAUACACGUGGCAGAAGCCAUAAAGGCGCUGGCUGGACACAGCUCUCGGGGGUUCCCUGGCAGCUCCCCACGCUGCAGCUCCGCCCCUGGCAUCCUUCUCUUCCCUCGGUUCCGCCAGCCGUCGGUGCACGCGUGGCUCUCGCGGGACGCGUGCUGCUGUGGGGCAGCCCUGGUGGGACAGGUUGCCAGGCAACUCCAGACCACCACAUUCUUUGGCAGGUGUCUGUGUGUGGGCCACCCGCUCUGCACUUCUCUCUCUCCACGCUGCUGUCUCUCUUCAGUGUUCAUUUCUGCCACCUGGGUCGGGGGACAGCUGAUGGCAAACCAAAUCCCCUAGUCCACCCAAGGGCGGAGCUGUUUCUCACAGGGGCAUCCAAGCCCUAG
RNAcentral lists this long non-coding RNA (1485 nucleotides) under Oryctolagus cuniculus (rabbit). Its description in RNAcentral is "lncRNA (ENSOCUG00000036285.1)". Lineage: Eukaryota; Metazoa; Chordata; Mammalia; Lagomorpha; Leporidae. The record is from RNAcentral.